UACAGAGGUGGCAAGCGUUGUUCGGAAUUACUGGGCGUAAAGGGCUCGUAGGUGGCCGACUAAGUCAGACGUGAAAUCCCUCAGCUUAACUGGGGAACUGCGUCUGAUACUGGAUGGCUUGAGUUUGGGAGAGGGAUGCGGAAUUCCAGGUGUAGCGGUGAAAUGCGUAGAUAUCUGGAGGAACACCGGUGGCGAAGGCGGCAUCCUGGACCAACACUGACACUGAGGAGCGAAAGCCAGGGGAGCAAACGGG
This 253-nucleotide ribosomal RNA is filed under the name uncultured bacterium. RNAcentral describes it as "partial 16S ribosomal RNA". It matches the Rfam family "Bacterial small subunit ribosomal RNA", at positions 524 to 776 of the family's 1533-position model. The record is from RNAcentral.